RNAcentral lists this ribosomal RNA (251 nucleotides) under uncultured bacterium. RNAcentral describes it as "partial 16S ribosomal RNA". It matches the Rfam family "Bacterial small subunit ribosomal RNA", at positions 524 to 776 of the family's 1533-position model. The record is from RNAcentral.
UACGUAGGGUGCAAGCGUUGUCCGGAAUUAUUGGGCGUAAAGAGCUUGUAGGCGGUUUGUCGCGUCUGCUGUGAAAUUUCGGGGCUCAACCCCGAACUUGCAGUGGGUACGGGCAGACUAGAGUGUGGUAGGGGAGACUGGAAUUCCUGGUGUAGCGGUGAAAUGCGCAGAUAUCAGGAGGAACACCGAUGGCGAAGGCAGGUCUCUGGCCGAUACUGACGCUGAGGAGCGAAGCGUGGGGAGCGAACAGG